RNA transcript from Harpia harpyja (harpy eagle), 1901 nucleotides. RefSeq lists it as uncharacterized. The transcript is spliced from 8 exons. The record is from RefSeq and is a predicted model, not a curated record. Lineage: Eukaryota; Metazoa; Chordata; Aves; Accipitriformes; Accipitridae.
AGGGUGUAGUUUCCCUCUUUGUGGUUAGUGGCUUCUACUUCAUUCUGCAGCGCUUCCUCUCCCUGCCCCUCUGACCACCCAGUUCAAGUCAGGCAGAUAACGAAGGCAGGACGGACCCACCAGGCAGCACGCUCCUCUCCUGGACAGGCCAGCACAGAGCUCUGAGCACACCCUGGCCCGCGGUGCCAUGAAUAUCUACUGCCUCAUGAUACCCCUCAUCUCCUCUCUCUUGUCGUCUCAGUGCAACUUUCUUGCAGCUUUCCUCCAGCUGCUACCGUUGGCUGUGUCCUUUGCAGAGCUUCUGCCAGUCCCUAUACUCUCCGCAGACCCCAGACAUGAUGUCUAUUAUGAAGGGGAAUCUGUCACAUUGAAAUGCUUGGCCCUGACAACGAGGAAAAUAGGUGGAUUUCGUUUCUUCAAUCAAACUGGGGAGCAAAUCAACCAAACAGCAUCUUUCUCUGAUCCGACUGCUUUGUUUAAGCUUACAGCUACAAAAGCAUCUUCUGGGGAGUACACGUGCACGUACUUUCUGAAGGAGUCCGGACAAGAAAUUCCUUCCAAUAGGAGCCUUCCUCUUUCACUUAAGGUUCAGGCUGCUCCCAUGGCCCCAACUUUAUCCCUGGAUCCUCAGCAGCAGGUCUAUAGGCCUGGGAACCACGUCAAUCUGCUCUGCUCCUUCCCCUCAUCUCCAGAUGACGUUAAACAAGUCCAGUACUAUGCAGACUCUGGACUUGCAGUCUCCGUCCCAGUAUCGAAUGUGAAAAACUACAGCUUCAACCUCAGGAUCACGGGAGAGGCGGACUCUGGGUCUUACAGUUGUGCCUAUUUUGUAAAUAAGGCUACACGUCCCGUUCGCUCAGAAAGGAGCCGCAGUGUCAUCGUCUAUGUAAAAAAGGGGGGGAGGUUGGAUCAUGGUAAAGGCACCAUUGAUUUCUUCCCAGGCCAUAAAAUCAGCUGGAUUCGAGAGAUCAUUGUUGGGGGUUCAUUCUUUACCAUCAAUGGCCUCAUCUUUUUCUUCUCCCACUGCCUGAUGAAGAGAAGAGAUCUGGAAGAGGGAUUCAGAUGGACUAACGAGAGGAAUGAGAUGAACUAUCCCAUAAAUGUUUUCUCUAUUAGCUAAGGCAAUCCAUUCUCUCAGGCCAUGCCUGAUUCCUCGUUGUCUGCCUCAGAGUCCCCGACAGGCAGAAAUGGUGCGUGUUCAACCGGCAUUGCUUUGGCUGCUCCGUUCCUCUGCGCAGACCCUCGUGCCUUCCAACCCGCCACAGGUCUGUCCGAAUAAAGCUGGACGUUGUGUUUGGGUCUUGUGGGUUUCAUGGAAAGAUGCAUGUUUCCAUGCUCCUUCCCAAAGUGUGUGCUUGUGUUUGUGUUCUGUGUGUGCCUGCCUCUGCUCCAUCUCACCCGUAACCCCACCAUGUUCCCAUCACACCUGGUUCUUAUUUGCAUCUGAAAGAGGUUGGAGAAGGAAUGGAAGGCAGAGAGAAGGAUGAGAAGAAAGAAGGUGGAAAGAGAGCCCCCAAAGCAGAACAGGUCCUCUGGUCCCGUCUCCACUGCGCUCCAAGGACUCGCAUCUUCUCUCCCGGGGUCUUUGCAAGGACCUGCGCCCGUCUCCUCCAAUUUUCUGGUUAUUUGUGCAUCGGCCAUUGAGAAUUUCGCCACUUACUCAAGGCUGCAAACGCACGAGCCCUUCCUGUAUGAAAACUAGCAGGAAAAGCUGUGGUCUGAAACAGAAAUACAAACUGGUGAGCUCACCGUCCUACAUCAGAUUAAACAAAAAGAGCUACAAGAAGAAGGAAAUACAGUUUGGGGGGGUGCAGGUUUUCACAUUGCAUGUGCUCAGGAGCUGGCAGAAGACGUGCGUGGGGCUGGGACCCCCGCGGCACGCUAGGAAAUGUAGUUCCCCC